This 87-nucleotide small RNA is filed under the name Chryseobacterium profundimaris. Its description in RNAcentral is "Flavo-1 RNA". It matches the Rfam family "Flavo-1 RNA". Lineage: Bacteria; Pseudomonadati; Bacteroidota; Flavobacteriia; Flavobacteriales; Weeksellaceae. The record is from RNAcentral.
AACUUACCAUAGGAACGGCAUCCUUUUUUCUGCGCGGCAGCAAAGCUGCCGCGCAGAAAAAAGAUAGAGUGGAUAGCCGGAUUAAGC